AGUUAAUAAGUUUUAUAGAAACAUAUAUCUUGAAAAUAUAAAAAAGAAUUAAACGAUUCUAUUAACUU
RNAcentral lists this transfer RNA (68 nucleotides) under Phryganistria guangxiensis. RNAcentral describes it as "tRNA-Ser". The record is from RNAcentral. Lineage: Eukaryota; Metazoa; Arthropoda; Insecta; Phasmatodea; Phasmatidae.